This 4314-nucleotide long non-coding RNA is filed under the name Sus scrofa (pig). RNAcentral's name for it is "lncRNA (ENSSSCG00000055194.1)". The record is from RNAcentral. Lineage: Eukaryota; Metazoa; Chordata; Mammalia; Artiodactyla; Suidae.
UCUAGAUACUCAUAUUGCAACAGAGAAAGGGUGGGGGAAAAAUGUAAUUGUAAUGUAUACAUGUAAGGAUAACCUGACCCCCCUUGCUGUACAGUGGGAAAAUAAAAAAAAAAAAAAAAGGAGAAAAAAAAAAAAGAAAAAGAUCCUUUUAGUGAUUAACUUGUAGCAAAAACAGCAGAACACAGUUUAAAGAAACAGAUCCAAUAUGGAGUCAGACUUGCUCUUCCCUUUUACAGCCCCCCUUGGAUCAUGUGACCCAGGAAGAUUCAUAACUGGGUUCAGGAGGGGGAGACUCUCUCAUGGAUCUAAGCAAGCCUUGUUUCUCUCCUGUCACUGAGGGCACAGUGCUGUGGUAGACACCCCUGGCAAUACUUUAUGGAGUAAAUGGCAAUACUUUAUAUAGCCACAGAUGAAAGGAAAUCAAAGUACAUGUUUACUGUAACAUGUACUAUUCUUCAGUUAAAAAAAAUGCUGUCUAUAUAUAUAUAUAUAUAUAUAUAUGUUAUUUUAGGGGAAAAAAGUCUUCUGACUUUUCUAGUCCCUUGUCAUCAUCUUAUAGAGCCUCACUACUUUCUUCUCCCAUCAUUCUUGGUCCUAUCUCUGUGAUGCUGCUGGGAUUUCCCUCUCUGGCUGAAAUGAGCAUGGGACCUACAUAGAGACCUGGGUUCUAGUCUAACUUCUGCAUUUAACCACUGUGUGUGGUUCUUGACUGUAACACCAUCUCCCUGGACCUGAGUUUUCUUAACUGAAUACCUGAAUACCUGAGCUGGGGAAGAUUCAAAUGGCUAAUACACAAGCUCAGUUCAAGAAGACUCCAAAUAAUGGGUCUUCCAUUUUCCCAGUGGGAAGUAUUGCAGGCACACAAAACAAUUUAAGUUGUAAUAAUUAAGCUUUUCAGCAUGCAAAGGCAUUAUAUUUAUUUAUAAUUUCUUUAGUUAUACAGACAUGUUAAAAUAGCAUAUUUUAUAAAGCAUUAGUCAUACUGUAUUUUCAACCCUCAUGUUCCAUAAUUUUAUUUAAACACAUAAAAUAUACAGCAUUAGCAUCACCCUCAAUAGAGCCACUUUUGAAUCAUCUGACAGUUUUCCAGGGUAUGCCAUCCUCAUUUCUAAGUUUUUUAAGAACUAGAAAUGAAGUCCCUUUUGAAUCUGUUUAGGAGGCUUUCACUGGCAUUGAUUAUCCUGCAUCACAAAUAUUUUUUUCAAAAAACAGUGCCCUUGAUUUUCAUUUCAUUUCUGAGUGUGUGUGUGUGUAUGUGUAUGUGUGUGUUACCCACAAUAUAUCAUUAUGGUGAGCUUUCAGGUGAUCUUUAAAAGACUUGUUCCCAAUGGUAUUCGGCACUCACAAUCAGGAGCUCAUACCCUAGGAAUAAUUCCUACAACUUUAUUAGACCUCUUAUGUCCUUAUUGUCCAUAACCCAAUUCAUCAUGCCACCUCUACAUACAUCAAACUAACAUUGAUUGUGGGAAUUUUAUGUGAACAUGUUUAUCCAAAAUAUACUUCACUAUUCCAAGUUAUAUAGGUAUACUUUUUUUUUUUUUUGAGACUUUAUUCACAUUAAACCUGUCUUUACUGAGGAGUAAUUUUGGAAGAAACACCAUAAUAUUUGUGAUGGCAAGGGAGGCAAAGGCAAGAGGACCAGUUGAAUGAAAGUCAGCUUUUGAAACUGUGUGCAUCAGAGAGGAGAUACUGGGAUGAUGUCUUAUGAGGAUUCAGAGAAUGAACCUGGGGCAAUCUACCAGUGGCCCUGUACAAAGGCAGAGAUGGGCUGUGUAGAGCCAGAAAAAGCCUAGGAGGGAUCACUUGCACCUGAUCACUUGGUGUGAGAAAAAGGAAAAAGAGGAGAGGGUAGGUUUUGGAAGGAUCUCUCUUCCUGGAGUGAGAGCAGGAAGAGAAACAAGUCAUUUUUUGCACCUCCAUUUACUUCAAUAUUAACAUGUCACUUUUCUAGGGUUUGCUAUUCACGAAAGAUCACAAUUCAAAUCUGAAACAGUCUGAAAGCUGUUGAUAAUUAUCCCUGGGAAAAAUCUGAGAGGCAGAUGAAUAGAGAUGACAAGGAAUAGGAUGAAUAACCUGUCACUUUUUGAGAGACACUGGGUGUGAGGGGUGAGGCAUGGUCAUCCUCAAAGACCUACUCUGUCUGAAAGUUAAAAUGUUACAACUCAUGUCGUAUUUAACAGAAGAGAAGAAUGAGCUGUACUUUUCCUGGUUUAUUUGUAUAAGCAAGGAAAGCACUUCAGUGACACAGAUAAUAUAUUAGUUGUACAAGUAAGCUCAUCUUUUUGAAAACUAGUUCAGAGAUAAAUGAAAAAAAUAUAUGAUAAUAUUGGUUAAUGAAGCAUUUUCCUGAACAUGGUUUCAUUUGAUUACCCAAACCUGUGAAGUAGGCCAACAUUAUUAAAAUUCUUACUUUAUAGAUGAAUACAAGGCAGAGGAAUUGGAGUGGUUAAUUGCCCAAAUCUGCCUCAGGGAGGUGAAUCCAAAGAAUAUUGGACUUGUCUAGUGAUAUUCCCUCUCAUGCUGAGAGUCCUGAAACCAUUUUAUAGCAUGAUGCAGAACACAAGGCUGCAGAGACAUUUCCCCCAUGUCCUUUGUUGAGCAGAGUCAGGCAAUCCAGCUGCUGGGAAAAACCCCUCUUCUGCUGGAGGGAAAAAUGCCCAGAUGAAAGAUUCAUACAGAUUCAAAGACAAAAGUGUUAUUUUGUUACAGGAUUUCUCUUUUUGGCUGCCAUUAGCUUAGUAAGACAUCGAUGUGGCAACUUUCAAACAGUACAAAAGGUUACAGUGAAACAUAUUUUUGUGUUAUGUGCUCCUGACCCUUAAUAUUCCAGUUCUGAUCCCAGGAGGUAACUCUCAAACCCCUGUCUUGUGAAUGCUUCCGGAGAAGUUCUUUGUAUAUAUGAGCACAGUGUUGUUUAUUCCUUCUGUCAAUAUAUUUUUUUAAUACAAAUAGUAGCAUCGAAUUCUGUACCUUCUAAUAUACCUUGGAGCCUGUUUCUGAUCAUUACACAAAAAUCAACCUUAUUCUUUGUAGGAGCUACUUAGGAUUCCAUUGAGUAGGUAUGACAUGAUUUCUUUAUGGACAUUUAGAUUCCAUAAACAAUGCUGAACCAAGUAUAUUUUAUAAGUUUAUGUAUAUAUACAAACAUAUCCUCCCAUAAAAAUAUCUAGAAGUGCAAAUGCUGGAUCAAAAAGCAUAUGCAUUUAAAAUUUGCAAGACUUUGCCAAAUUGCCAUUCAAAAUUAAGUAAACUAAGUUGUACUCUUAUUGGUUAUGAAUGAGAGUAACUGUUUCCCUCAUUAAUGCCGUAUUUAUUCAAACUCUUGAUAAUGACCAAUUUACUGGUAAAAACUUAGUUUUUGCAUUUCAUAUAUAGAGUCAGCAUAUCUGAAGAUUUGUAUAUGUGAAUAUAUUUUAAACUACUGAACUGUACAAUUGAAAAUGGUUAAGAUGUUAAAAAGUAUAAAUCAUAUAUUUUUAGAAUCCUAUGUGCAUUGUUUGUUCCAGUUUCUGUCCAUUUUUUUUUCUAUUGGUUUGAUGCUGUUUUCCUUAUUUUUAAGAGCUCUUUUUAUAUUGAGAACAAUAGUCAUUUACCAUUCAUUGUAAAUUUUCUUCCCAAGUUUUAAUUUUUAUUAAACUUAGAGUAUUUUUCCACAUAAAUUAAAAAAUUUUCAUGUGUAAUUCAAAAUACCAAUUUAUUACUCAAAUUUGAUGUUCCUUAGAAAAUAUUUCUUUUGUGAUUAUUUACAAGUCUUUUUUAAGGCUUUAAUUUUAUUUUCAUUUAAAUUCUUAGUCAUCUGAAAUAUAUUUUGUUGUGGUGACUGAGGCAAGGAUCUUACCUUUUUCUGAAAUGAACGUACAGUUAUUUUAAUAUGUUCUAUUUAAUAAUCUAGUUUUUCUCCACUGAGUUAAAAUGCCACCAAAGUUCAAUUUCUGUACUCUCAAUUUUAUUCAGUUUAUCAGUCUCUCUCUAUAUUCAUUUAUAAGUCCCAAACUGUUCAUAUUACUGUGGUUUUAUGAUACAUCUAGUAUACUUAGAAAUUUAACAUUUAUUUUUAUAUUUUACUAUUAAGACGUUAAAUGUUCCGUGUUCUUGUUGUGGUUCAGUGGAAACGAAUCUGACUAGUAUCCAAGAGGAUACAGGUUCACUCCCUGGCCUCGCUCAGUGGGUCAGGGAUCUGGCGUUGCCAUGAGCUGUAGUGUGGUUUGAAGAUGCAGCUUGGAUUGCACGUUGCUGUGGCUGUGGUGUAGGUCAGUGGCUGCAGCUCUGAUUCGACCCCUAGCCUGGGAACCUCCACAUGCCACAGGUGUGGCC